RNAcentral lists this ribosomal RNA (688 nucleotides) under Escherichia coli. RNAcentral's name for it is "bacterial SSU rRNA". The stretch from base 11 to 417 matches the Rfam family "Bacterial small subunit ribosomal RNA", at positions 9 to 546 of the family's 1533-position model. The record is from RNAcentral. Lineage: Bacteria; Pseudomonadati; Pseudomonadota; Gammaproteobacteria; Enterobacterales; Enterobacteriaceae.
UUAAAUUGAAGAGUUUGAUCAUGGCUCAGAUUGAACGCUGGCGGCAGGCCUAACACAUGCAAGUCGAACGGUAACAGAAAGCAGCUUGCUGCUUUGCUGACGAGUGGCGGACGGGUGAGUAAUGUCUGGGAAACUGCCUGAUGGAGGGGGAUAACUACUGGAAACGGUAGCUAAUACCGCAUAACGUCGCAAGACCAAAGAGGGGGACCUUCGGGCCUCUUGCCAUCGGAUGUGCCCAGAUGGGAUUAGCUAGUAGGUGGGGUAACGGCUCACCUAGGCGACGAUCCCUAGCUGGUCUGAGAGGAUGACCAGCCACACUGGAACUGAGACACGGUCCAGACUCCUACGGGAGGCAGCAGUGGGGAAUAUUGCACAAUGGGCGCAAGCCUGAUGCAGCCAUGCCAGUCGAACGGUAACAGAAAGCAGCUUGCUGCUUUGCGGACGAGUGGCGGACGGGUGAGUAAUGGCUGUGAAACUGCCUGAUGGAGGGGGAUAACUACUGGAAACGGUAGCUAAUACCGCAUAACGUCGCAAGACCAAAGAGGGGGACCUUCGGGCCUCUUGCCAUCGGAUGUGCCCAGAUGGGAUUAGCUAGUAGGUGGGGUAACGGCUCACCUAGGCGACGAUCCCUAGCUGGUCUGAGAGGAUGACCAGCCACACUGGAACUGAGACACGGUCCAGACUCCUA